This 253-nucleotide ribosomal RNA is filed under the name uncultured bacterium. RNAcentral's name for it is "partial 16S ribosomal RNA". It matches the Rfam family "Bacterial small subunit ribosomal RNA", at positions 524 to 776 of the family's 1533-position model. The record is from RNAcentral.
UACAGAGGGGGCAAGCGUUGUUCGGAAUUACUGGGCGUAAAGGGCGCGUAGGCGGCCUUCUAAGUCGAACGUGAAAUCCCCGGGCUCAACCCGGGAACUGCGUCCGAUACUGGGAGGCUUGAAUCCGGGAGAGGGAUGCGGAAUUCCAGGUGUAGCGGUGAAAUGCGCAGAUAUCAGGAGGAACACCGAUGGCGAAGGCAGCACUCUGGGACGUUACUGACGCUGAGACGCGAAAGCGUGGGGAGCAAACAGG